This 921-nucleotide ribosomal RNA is filed under the name Salmonella enterica. RNAcentral's name for it is "partial 23S ribosomal RNA". It matches the Rfam family "Bacterial large subunit ribosomal RNA", at positions 711 to 1551 of the family's 2925-position model. The record is from RNAcentral. Lineage: Bacteria; Pseudomonadati; Pseudomonadota; Gammaproteobacteria; Enterobacterales; Enterobacteriaceae.
AGACCCGAAACCCGGUGAUCUAGCCAUGGGCAGGUUGAAGGUUGGGUAACACUAACUGGAGGACCGAACCGACUAAUGUUGAAAAAUUAGCGGAUGACCUGUGGCUGGGGGUGAAAGGCCAAUCAAACCGGGAGAUAGCUGGUUCUCCCCGAAAGCUAUUUAGGUAGCGCCUCGUGAAUUCAUCUCCGGGGGUAGAGCACUGUUUCGGCUAGGGGGCCAUCCCGGCUUACCAACCCGAUGCAAACUGCGAAUACCGGAGAAUGUUAUCACGGGAGACACACGGCGGGUGCUAACGUCCGUCGUGAAGAGGGAAACAACCCAGACCGCCAGCUAAGGUCCCAAAGUCAUGGUUAAGUGGGAAACGAUGUGGGAAGGCCCAGACAGCCAGGAUGUUGGCUUAGAAGCAGCCAUCAUUUAAAGAAAGCGUAAUAGCUCACUGGUCGAGUCGGCCUGCGCGGAAGAUGUAACGGGGCUAAACCAUGCACCGAAGCUGCGGCAGCGAACGUAUCACUUAAAGCGAUUCAGCGGGUUACGACUGACGGAGCGAAGCGACGUCAAAGCGUAUACAAAGUCGAGUCGGUUUAAGGAUACGUUCGUUGGGUAGGGGAGCGUUCUGUAAGCCUGCGAAGGUGGCCUGUGAGGGUUGCUGGAGGUAUCAGAAGUGCGAAUGCUGACAUAAGUAACGAUAAAGCGGGUGAAAAGCCCGCUCGCCGGAAGACCAAGGGUUCCUGUCCAACGUUAAUCGGGGCAGGGUGAGUCGACCCCUAAGGCGAGGCCGAAAGGCGUAGUCGAUGGGAAACGGGUUAAUAUUCCCGUACUUGGUGUUACUGCGAAGGGGGGACGGAGAAGGCUAUGUUGGCCGGGCGACGGUUGUCCCGGUUUAAGCGGGUAGGUGUGUGUUCCAGGUAAAUCCGGUUCACU